AGUGCUGAAAGCAUCUAAGCACGAAACUUGCCCCGAGAUGAGUUCUCCCUGACUCCUUGAGAGUCCUGAAGGAACGUUGAAGACGACGACGUUGAUAGGUCGGAUGUGUAAGCGUAGCGAUACGUUGAGCUAACCGAUACUAAUGAACCGUGAGGCUUAACCUUACAACGCCGAAGCUGUU
RNAcentral lists this ribosomal RNA (181 nucleotides) under Raoultella sp. T31. Its description in RNAcentral is "partial 23S ribosomal RNA". It matches the Rfam family "Bacterial large subunit ribosomal RNA", at positions 2767 to 2925 of the family's 2925-position model. The record is from RNAcentral. Lineage: Bacteria; Pseudomonadati; Pseudomonadota; Gammaproteobacteria; Enterobacterales; Enterobacteriaceae.